UGGGGAAUUUUGGACAAUGGGGGAAACCCUGAUCCAGCCAUCCCGCGUGUGCGAUGAAGGCCUUCGGGUUGUAAAGCACUUUUGGCAGGAAAGAAACGUCGCGGGUUAAUACCCCGCGAAACUGACGGUACCUGCAGAAUAAGCACCGGCUAACUACGUGCCAGCAGCCGCGGUAAUACGUAGGGUGCAAGCGUUAAUCGGAAUUACUGGGCGUAAAGCGUGCGCAGGCGGUUCGGAAAGAAAGAUGUGAAAUCCCAGAGCUUAACUUUGGAACUGCAUUUUUAACUACCGGGCUAGAGUGUGUCAGAGGGAGGUGGAAUUCCGCGUGUAGCAGUGAAAUGCGUAGAUACGCGGAGGAACACCGAUGGCGAAGGCAGCCUCCUGGGAUAACACUGACGCUCAUGCACGAAAGCGUGGGGAGCAAACAGGAUUAGAUACCCUGGUAGUCCACGCCCUAAACGAUGUCAACUAGCUGUUGGGGCCUUCGGGCCUUGGUAGCGCAGCUAACGCGUGAAGUUGACCGCCUGGGGGAGUACGGUCGCAAGAUUAAAACUCAAAGGAAUUGACGGGGUCGAU
This 576-nucleotide ribosomal RNA is filed under the name uncultured bacterium. RNAcentral describes it as "partial 16S ribosomal RNA". It matches the Rfam family "Bacterial small subunit ribosomal RNA", at positions 355 to 923 of the family's 1533-position model. The record is from RNAcentral.